CGGAGCUUAAGGCGCUGGAGGAGCGAGUGCACAAGUAGAAGCGCACAGACAGGAAGUUCAACCGGAAACAUGGCCGUGGUCGCUGAGGACUCAGAAUGCAGAUAGUUAAGCGUCAUCAUUUGCAGCUGGGCAGCAGCUUUGGACCCGGCUGCCCUGCUGACUCUGGGAAUUGGAGUGUUUUAUUCCCCCGAUGCCCUGGUGGGUUGUAGUCCCUGCUCUAACCACUGGGCGGGGAUGUACCUCCCAUUGAUGACCAACCCUCUCAUGACAUCACAAUGCACAGAAGCCUAAUCACACUUUAUUGGUUUUAUUCAUGUAAACAUGAAUCCUUAUACAAGUCCUGUCCAGUCCUUAAGUCCUGAGGACCAGGUUGAGAUUUGUCUUAGAAACAUCACGCUCCUAUUUGGUUUUCACAACAUAGUUUGUUAACUGAAAUGCAGGUUUUAGAGAGUUCUAGUACUCGCUGCUCAUCAAAGAUGGUUUGUGUCAGUAUUUUAAUUGUUUGAAUUUCAAUGAUCUGAUAAAUGGAAAGCUCCAUUUAAAUAAAAUAAAAACAAUAGCCAGGCCAGUAAUCGUUAACUUUGUGUGUGUAAAAUAAUCUCAACCAGUGACUCAUCUUUCUCUUUUAUGAAGGGAAAUCUGUUAGGAAUAGAAAUGUCAGAGAUAAAAAGUCUACAAUGCAGCAACUUUGGACGUGACUUUCCACUAAUGGAUGCCGGAGGGAGGUUUGUCCCAACAUGAAGGUCAGAUUUCUCAGACGUUGAACAUAAAGAAGCUAAUGUCACUAAAACACAAUCAACACGACCUUGUUGUGCCUUUGAGACGUUAAACAACUCAACUUUUGGGCUGCUAAUGUUUUCAUGCUGAAACCCAAAGAUUAUCUUUUGAGAAAAGUCACACAGUUUUAACCUUUUUUUAAAGUGUAUUUUAGCACCAGAUCUUUUAUUAUACAAUUGACUGAGUCUCAGGAAAGGCCCUUUCUAUUUCUCGUUAAGCUUUGCAUUCAAAUAAAUUAAUAAAAAGACCAUCAAGUGGGAA
Molecule: non-coding RNA, 1038 nt
Organism: Gasterosteus aculeatus aculeatus (three-spined stickleback)
Lineage: Eukaryota; Metazoa; Chordata; Actinopteri; Perciformes; Gasterosteidae
Source: RefSeq, a predicted model, not a curated record